UAAAGAGAGAGAGAGAGAGAGAGAGACUGCGUACGGAUGAUCUUAAUUUCUGUAUUGUGUAAUAAAUUAAAUCGAUUAUAAUAUCGUUAGGAUCUACAAUUUUACAUAUUCACUAUCAAAGAGGAAAAAGAAUCCUAAAAGGAUAAAAACAAGUACAUAUUGAUUGCACCUUUGCGCAAUACUGCAAAACUUCAUAAGAAUCAAAACAAUUAAAGAACCAGAGAAUAUAAAAAAGAAAAGAAUUAUUUUGAAUAUAUAGUCUAAUGGCCGGGACCUCUUUUGCUUGGCCCAGACGCCAAUUUGAACAUCAAGCUCCGUAUAGCAGAACCACCGUUGCUACCAUUAGUACUGUCAUUAUUGGCAACCGCCACGCCGAACUGAGUCACGCUCAUCGAGUUAGCUCCUUCACCGGGUUGAUCGCAUUCGGCGGCAAUCGUAUUAUCUGUCGACGGUGUUGAUUUCUUCAGAGCUCUGCAUUCCACAACACUACUAAGCUGUGAAAUCAUGAACAAAAUCAUGAUACUCAAAACUAGACAAAAACUCUUCUUUGCCAUUGCCAUUAAUUUGUAUGUAUUGUCUUUACUAUUUUCUCUCUCCUCUCUGGGUUGUUUUUCUCUCUCUAGAUUUGCUCGGAGAAGUAGGUGGUGACGUUAAUGUGUGAGAUUGUUGAUGAAGCAACAAGGUGUGGAGCUACUGGUUUAUAAAUAGGGAGGACGGUAGAGGGCUUUUGAAUUAAUUGUGAGCCGGGCCCGAAAAACGUUUGACUUGGCGCUGCUGCUAUAUAUUUUCGUGUAAAUAUUGGCGGGUACGUGGUGAAGACUGAGGACUAACAAGUUGUUGAGCCUAGGCAUGAGCUUUUUACUUUGAUUCAGAAUUGUUUGAAUAUUUUAAUUUGACUUUGUACUCACUGACGUAUUUGAUGAUAUGACAUUUACUAUAUGUGCUCUUGCUACGUACACAUAUAGAGAAUUAAUAUUUUAUUAACUAAAUUUGAUAGCUCUACAAAUUUCUCAACGCAUAAAUAAUAAGUGAGAUUCACGUUCA
Molecule: long non-coding RNA, 1044 nt
Filed under: Panax ginseng (ginseng)
Lineage: Eukaryota; Viridiplantae; Streptophyta; Magnoliopsida; Apiales; Araliaceae
Description: long non-coding RNA (PGIN_LNC001865)
Source: RNAcentral